RNAcentral lists this ribosomal RNA (459 nucleotides) under uncultured bacterium. Its description in RNAcentral is "partial 16S ribosomal RNA". It matches the Rfam family "Bacterial small subunit ribosomal RNA", at positions 338 to 795 of the family's 1533-position model. The record is from RNAcentral.
CCUACGGGUGGCAGCAGGGAGGAAUAUAGGUCAAUGGGCGGGAGACUGAACCAGCCAAGCCGCGUGAGGGAUGAAGGUACAGAGUAUCGUAAACCUCUUUUGUCAGGGAACAAAGGCGGGGACGUGUCCCCGGAUGAGUGUACCUGAAGAAAAAGCGUCGGCUAACGCCGUGCCAGCAGCCGCGGUAAUCCGGAGGAUGCGAGCGUUAGCCGGAUUUAUUGGGUUUAAAGGUUGCGAGGGCGGUUGGUUAAGUCAGCGGUAAAAGCCCGGGGCUCAACCCCGGCCCGCCGUUGAACGUGGCAGUCUCGAGUUGGAGAGAAGUAUGCGGAAUGCGCGGUGGAGCGGUGAAAUGCAUAGAUAGCACGCAGAACUCCGAUUGCGAAGGCAGCAUACCGGCGCCCAACUGACGCUGAAGCACGAAAGCGUGGGUAUCGAACAGGAUUAGAUACCCUAGUAGUC